AACUUUUUUUUUUUUUUUAAAAAAAGGGGAAUAGUUAAAUUGGGAGUUCAAGGUGACCACACAAUUUCAAUAAUUUCUUAAUGGGAGUGAUAGUGCAUAUUAGAGUGGGUUGCCUAGGAAAUUCUUAGGUGUGAAGCUGAGAAUGUUACUUAACUUGAAGUUCUUUCAAUUCUAAAAUUGUUUAGGAUGAUUUGGGAAGAAAAAUAAUAGAGCAACGAAGAAAGGACAAAAGUGAGUGGAUGACAGUGUGCAAAUAUUCCCACGAUAAUGUGAAUAUUUUGUUGGCAUUUUUUUCAUCUUUAACCUUCUUGCUAGAGCAACAUCUUCAAAAUUUUUCCUUCAAACUUUUGUAUUGUUGUGAAAGAUAUUGACAGUGUUUUGUACCCUUGGUAAUUUCUCACAUAAUACAGUCAUGUUUUUUGACAUAUGUCUGCAAUGUGCUGAUCUAUCAUCUGCGAAUAUUCUGCUUGACACUAUUCUUUUCGAGUCAUAAAGCUUAUCAGCACUCAUUAAUAAAUAAGUGAGGGAAGUUGGAGUGCACUAUUUGAUUCAGAAGAUAAGUGCAUCAAGCUCUUUUUUUUUGGGUUAAUGUAUUCCUGCUCAUUUGAAAGUGGUAUUUUUCUGAUUACGAAAACGAAAAAAGUUUUUUCUCUCUUUAUAUUUCUGUAGAAAAUACCAGCCUUUAAUUGUAAUGCAAAAUUUCUCCAAAGCUGAAACUGCUAUACAUUUUGCAUUUAGAUUGUUGGGAUUGCAUUAAAUUACAUGAACAUGUAUUCAUUUUACUGUUGGAUCCAUUGGCAGAGUGCACUCCAACUGGACUGUUCUGCCAAAUAGGAGCAACUAUUUGAUUGGACUUAAGCUCUGAUCUGCAUUUUAAGGUGUCCCAUGGACAGAAGAGGAGCAUAGGCUAUUCUUAAUUGGUCUUCAGAAAUUGGGGAAAGGAGAUUGGCGUGGAAUAGCUAAAAAUUAUGUGGUGUCUAGAACUCCUACCCAGGUAGCAAGCCAUGCUCAGAAGUAUUUUAUCCGCCAGAGCAAUGCCACACGAAGAAAGAGGCGCUCCAGCCUUUUUGACAUGGUUCCAGACAUGGUUUGUCGUCCUUUCUUUAUGUUUAUUUUACAUGUUUAUAUAUGUAUGUACUGACUCGUGGUAAGACCAAUGGCAGUCGGCUUCAAUCUGGCAGUUGCUUUUUGGGCUUGCCACAUUACAGAAUUUCAUAUAUAUAAAAGCAAUCCAUUUUAACUCCAAAAAUCAAAGUUGUGCUACUCUUUCCUUAGUAAGUAGUGAGAUGCACUUUAUGAGGUUAUAUAAUGCAGGAUAUUUGCUACUCCAAAUUUCCUUUCAUCUUAUUAUUUUUAAUGUUCAGAUAAGUGUGUAAUCUGGUGGAGAAUUGGUGGUCAGCCCAUGCUUGUGUAACCUGUUAUAACUAGAUAACGAGAUAAGUUUAUUCAGCUGUGUUAUCAUUCAUCCUUCGGAACUGAUGAAAUUAUUUGUAUACUUUAUCGUGUAUUUCUCAGGCAACUGAACCCCAGACAGUUCCAGAAGAACAGGAGUUGCCAUCUUUUCAGUCAGGAGAAAUGGAUAAUGCAGAUGCGCUGCCUUCACUGAACCUCUCCCUGAGGCCAGAAUAUGUACCCAUGGACACAGCAUCUGAAGAACAAGUGAAAGAACAUGAUGAAACAGUGAUAGAUUCCAGUGAAUCCAAACAAACUGUUCCAAAAUCAAGUGAAUUCAGUCCAAUUGUCCCUCAGUUAAGUGAAUUCCCACAAUUUGUUCCUGGAUUCUAUCCAGCUUAUGUGCCAAUCCCUUAUCCCUUUUGGCCUGCAAAUACUGCCCCUCUUCAAGAAGUAAAGGGCGUGGAGACAUCAAAUCAUGAGGUCCUAAAGCCAGUUCCAAUCUUUCCCAAGGAGCCUGUCAAUGUAGAUGAACUGGUUGGCAUGUCUCACCUCAGUAUAGGAGAGACCGAGAGAGGCCAAAGAGAGCCUUCGCCACUCUCCCUGAAAUUAAUAGGUGAGCCAUCGAGGCAGUCAGCAUUUCAAGCCAAUGCUUCGGCAGUGGGUUAGAGUCAAGCCAGGGCAAGGGCAGUCCUAUACAAGCAGUUUGACAUGGAGAAAAGAAGCUGUAUUUUAGCUUUUGAUUAGUUUAGCGCCUCCCUUCCCCCUGUAGAAUCUUUGUUUUACCAUUUGAUAGUGCCAAGCUUUUUCUAUUUCUUAUAACAUAGGGUGACAUUGAUUUGGUUUGAAAUAUUUAUUCUUUCUAACUGUAAUCAGCUAGAAAUAUAAAUAAAUGAAGGGGGCGUGGCGCCAAAUUGCAAAUUCUUGUAAGUGCUGUAUGCAGUUUAGCUUUAACUUCAAACUUGUUAGUACCUUUGUGGCAAUAUUCUACUUGACGAAUUCUGAUGCAUUCUGCUAGUAUAUGUUUUUUUGGAA
Molecule: unclassified non-coding RNA, 2427 nt
Filed under: Hevea brasiliensis (rubber tree)
Lineage: Eukaryota; Viridiplantae; Streptophyta; Magnoliopsida; Malpighiales; Euphorbiaceae
Source: RNAcentral